This 508-nucleotide long non-coding RNA is filed under the name Homo sapiens (human). Its description in RNAcentral is "HSALNT0336767". The record is from RNAcentral. Lineage: Eukaryota; Metazoa; Chordata; Mammalia; Primates; Hominidae.
CCCGUUUCCACCUUUCUGUCAGGUCAUAGAUAUAAAUUACAAUUCUGGCCCUCAUUCACCCUCACAUAGCUUUCUGGCAUCCUUUCCCAUUCUCUGAACAUGAGAGGAAUGAGAAGGUUAUUUGGAAGGUCGCUGAUCUUAGGAGUUGUCCUGCUACAGUUACCGGAGAAUCUUGAAUUUCAUCUGAAAAGACUGCAAGGCAGUCGGGGCAAGCAUGCUAUGAGAAGUCAACUGAGGAAAAGACAGUGAGAGAGCAAGAGCAGAUUGAGAAGCAGAAGAGUGAGUCGCAAAAAGAGAAAAUGACAGAAAUGGAGCACCCUGGUAUCAUAAAAUAUGCUUGAACUUGGGUUAAUUCCUCUUGGACUGAAUUGUAGUGCCAUAAACCAAGCUUUUCAAAAAGAUUGGAUGCAAAACUAUUAUGGCAACAGGAAUUUUUAUCAACAUAAAGCAGGAUUUAAUGCAGGAAUAAAAAAGCUGUCUUCUUGACAGAUAUAAGCUGGUAGCUGAG